GAAAAAACAGGGAAGCUCUCGAGUAUUGACAACUAUAGGCCAAUAGCCUUGGCUAGUGUGGUGUCAAAGGUGUUAGAGAGAAUAAUACUUGAUAGAUUACAAGAGUAUAUUGUCACAGCUGAUGAACAAUUUGGUUUUAAAAGCAAACAUGGUACGGACAUGUGUGUCUAUGCCUUAAAAGAGGCAGUACAUAAGUACAGUAAUCAUAAUUCCACCAUGUUCACAUGCUUCCUAGAUGCUUCAAAAGCUUUUGACCGUCUAAACCAUGGUAAACUAUUUGCUAAACUAAGAGAAAGAGGUGUUCCUUCAUACUUGGUACGUGUAUUGCAUUUUUGGUACUCCAAUCAAACCAUGCAAGUCAGAUGGGGAGAUUCUAUAUCAGAGCCCUUUUCAGUGACAAACGGGGUCAAACAGGGAGGGAUUUUAUCCCCAGUACUUUUUAAUCUGUAUAUGGACGGACUCUCUAAAAGACUCACAAUGUGCAGGACUGGAUGCAUGGUGGGAGAAAGGCUACUUAAUCAUUUAAUGUAUGCUGAUGACCUGGUCAUUAUGACCCCCAGUUCAGCUGGCCUGCAGCAGUUGCUCAGAGUGUGUUCUGACUAUGGACAGCUCUUUGAUAUCAAGUUUAAUCCCAAAAAGAGUGUAGUCAUGAUCAUGAAAACUAAGGAAGAUAGGGAUGCAACAUUCCCUUCUUUUCUUUUGGCUGACAAGGUGCUCAAUGUUGUGGAUAAGGUCAGAUAUCUGGGUCACAUCAUUAGGGACGACCUCAGUGACGAUGAUGAUGUUCAGAGACAAUACUGUAAAUUAUAUGCACAAGCUAACAUGUUGUCACGAAAAUUUCAUAUGUGUACUGAUGAUGUUAAGAUUGCCCUUUUUAAAGCUUAUUGUACUCCACUAUAUACUGCCCACUUGUGGUGCAGAUACAGUAAAAGUAAAUAUAACAAAUUGAGAGUGGCGUAUAAUGAUGCUCUAAGAAUUCUGCUGAGGCUACCAAGGUGCACAAGUGCCAGUCAACUGUUUGUAAACAGUGGUGUUCCCACUUUAAAUGCAUUGCUCAGGAAUCUGAUGUACAGUUUUAUGAUGAGAUUGAUGGACUCCAAAAAUGAAAUUAUAAUGACUUUAACCAUGCCGAAGUUAAGCAGCAUCAGAUACACUUCCAGUCUCUGGAAGCAUUGGAGAGAGUGUCUGUAUGUUUUUUAGUUGUGUUUCUUAUUUGUCUGUUGUUGUUUUGUCUGUUGUACUGUCGUGUAUAUGGACCUAUAUGAGUCUGAAAUAAAGAUAAAUAAUAAUAAUAAUAAUAAUAAUAACCUCUGUCUUAUGUACAUUUACUCUACUGU
Long non-coding RNA from Gadus morhua (Atlantic cod), 1337 nucleotides. The record is from Ensembl. NCBI's taxonomy places the organism in Eukaryota, Metazoa, Chordata, Actinopteri, Gadiformes, Gadidae.